RNAcentral lists this long non-coding RNA (691 nucleotides) under Macaca nemestrina (pig-tailed macaque). RNAcentral describes it as "lncRNA (ENSMNEG00000045971.1)". Lineage: Eukaryota; Metazoa; Chordata; Mammalia; Primates; Cercopithecidae. The record is from RNAcentral.
CGUGUUUUGUGGGAUUUGCCAGCAGCGUGCAAUCUCCCUGCAUGCGUCAGGUCCACACAUGGCAGUGUCCCUUGUCUCUCUCUGGGUUUGUUUGGUGGUACAUCAGGCCAGUCUCUGGAAGCCUGGAAUUAAGGAUGCAAGCAUGUUCAUGCGCGUGGUGUAGGAUGGAUGGGGAAGGCAAUCGCAGGAGACCUUCCGCUCCCUCCUCCACCUGGGGCUGGGCCCUGAAAACGGAAACCACGUUACCACUAUGCAGAAACCUUCUAGGACCCAAGUAUAUCUGUGAGUAUCUUUUUUUCUUUUUGGCAAAAACAGGAUGAAACUUUAAGUGGUGUUUUGCAGCUCUCUUUGUUUAUGGGGAGAUAAACAUUUCCAUGUCAAUUCAAGUGCCUUUGUUAAAGAAGUGCCUAGUAUCCCCUUGUCUGGCAGUCCUCUCACUCACUUCGGCAGUCCUUUAUCAAUGGACACUUAAAUGUUUCCAAAAUUUUGUCAUUAGACUCUGGACUGAACAUGCUUGUGCUGGCAUCUCUGUAACCUGAUGCAAGCAUCUGUGUUGCAUGAAUUCCUGGAAGUAAAACUGAUGGGCCAAAGGACAUGUGUGUUUUAGAUCUUGAUAAAUAUUGCCAAAUGGCUUUCCAAAAACUGUUCCUAAUGGACAGGGUCCCAGCGGUCAAGCAGGCGCCGUUUCCUC